GAUGAACGCUGGCGGCGUGCCUAAUACAUGCAAGUCGAGCGAACAGACGAGGAGCUUACUCCUCUGACGUUAGCGGCGGACUGGUGAGUAACACGUGGAUAACCUACCUAUAAGACUGGGAUAACUUCGGGAAACCGGAGCUAAUACCGGAUAACAUGUUGAACCGCAUGGUUCAACAGUGAAAGACGGUCUUGCUGUCACUUAUAGAUGGAUCCGCGUCGCAUUAGCUAGUUGGUAAGGUAACGGCUUACCAAGGCAACGAUGCGUAGCCGACCUGAGAGGGUGAUCGGCCACACUGGAACUGAGACACGGUCCAGACUCCUACGGGAGGCAGCAGUAGGGAAUCUUCCGCAAUGGGCGAAAGCCUGACGGAGCAACGCCGCGUGAGUGAAGAAGGUCUUCGGAUCGUAAAACUCUGUUAUUAGGGAAGAACAAAUGUGUAAGUAACUAUGCACGUCUUGACGGUACCUAAUCAGAAAGCCACGGCUAACUACGUG
This 497-nucleotide ribosomal RNA is filed under the name uncultured bacterium. RNAcentral describes it as "partial 16S ribosomal RNA". It matches the Rfam family "Bacterial small subunit ribosomal RNA", at positions 28 to 507 of the family's 1533-position model. The record is from RNAcentral.